This 489-nucleotide ribosomal RNA is filed under the name uncultured bacterium. RNAcentral describes it as "bacterial SSU rRNA". It matches the Rfam family "Bacterial small subunit ribosomal RNA", at positions 40 to 518 of the family's 1533-position model. The record is from RNAcentral.
CGGCGUGCCUAACACAUGCAAGUCGAGCGGGGACAUGCGACGGAUUGAAGUUUCGGAUGGAAAUGAAGAUGUAUGUUCUAGCGGCGGACGGGUGAGUAACGCGUGAGCAACCUGUCCUUCACAGGGGGAUAACACAGCGAAAGUUGUACUAAUACCGCAUAAGACCACGGUAGGACAUCCUGCAGGGGUCAAAGGAGCAAUCCGGUGAGGGGUGGGCUCGCGUCCGAUUAGAUAGUUGGUGAGGUAACGGCCCACCAAGUCAACGAUCGGUAGCCGACCUGAGAGGGUGAUCGGCCACAUUGGGACUGAGACACGGCCCAAACUCCUACGGGAGGCAGCAGUGGGGAAUAUUGGGCAAUGGGGGGAACCCUGACCCAGCAACGCCGCGUGAGGGAAGAAGGUUUUCGGAUCGUAAACCUCUGUCCUAUGUGAAGAGGAAGAGACGGUAGCAUAGGAGGAAGCCCCGGCUAACUACGUGCCAGCCGCUGC